RNAcentral lists this long non-coding RNA (1170 nucleotides) under Triticum aestivum (bread wheat). RNAcentral's name for it is "long non-coding RNA (TAES_LNC008850)". Lineage: Eukaryota; Viridiplantae; Streptophyta; Magnoliopsida; Poales; Poaceae. The record is from RNAcentral.
AAAGCUUUGCUAGUUUUUACCACAUGUGGCAGGAAUAUGUUCAAGAAGGAACGGAUCAGGAUCAGGCCGGCCUUCAUCAAGUUCAGAGCAUAAAUUAACUUCAUGCGUUUCACGGGCUCCAGAUCGGAUUAACAUGACUACUCUAGAAUCUUUAGCUAGAUUCAAGUCUCUACUGAAACAUCGAGACUACUACUACAGGUACAACAAACAGCUGCUACAGCAGAGACAAAAGGAAAUCAGCGCUAAUAAUCUCCGGUCCACUCCUUCCAAUCCUUGUCGAUGUUCUUCUCAGCCCACGCGAUGGCGGCGCGCGCGGCCUGAGGCGCGCCGGGGAGGCCCCUCUCUUUGAUCUCGCCCUUCAUGUCCAAGAAGGGGUGAACCAGGAGCGUCCCGGGUCCGCAGUACUCAUGUUGCAAGAACGUGCUCAAGACCUGGAAAUCAGAAUCACGUCUCAGAGAUUUCAUCUAUCGGACUAGCUGAAAGUGUAGUGCAGUGGUGUCACAUCUAACAUCGAAUUGUCGCCUACAUAAGCAACUGCGUCACUCUUGAAGGUCCUUCGAAGCCUAACAUCUUCUGCACCUGCGCAGCAUGUCGUUGCGGUGCGGUGCCCCCGCUCCUGCCUGACGACCUGCCGCGUGACAAACUUACUGCUACUACUACUUGCUUACAGUGGUGAAGGCAAAGAAAGUAUUCCUGCCACAUGUGGCACCGGCAAGUUUUUUUCAACCAACUACUGCCAGGCAGCCACCAAGACAUGUUCAUCACAGAUUCAGAGAAGAAACGGAACGGAUCAGUCCAGCAGCCUUCAUCAAGUUCAGAGCAUAAAUUCACUUCAUGCGUUUCACGGGCUCCAGAUCGGACUAACAUGACUAGUCUAGAAUCUAGCUAGACCCAAGUCUGUACUGAAACAUCGAAACUACUACAGGUACAACAGACGGCUGCUAAAACAGAGACAAAGAGUGGCAAAAAGAAAUCGGCGCUAAUAAUCUCCGGUCCACUCCUUCCAGUCCUUGUCGAUGUUCUUCUCAGCCCACGCGAUGGCGGCGCGUGCGGCCUGAGGCGCGCCAGGGAGGCCCCUCUCUUUGAUCUCGCCCUUCAUGUCCAAGAAUGGGUGAACCAGGAGCGUCCCGGGUCCGCAGUACUCAUGUUGCAAGAACGUGCCCAAGACCU